GUGCUCGCUUCGGCAGCCCAUAUACUAAAAUUGGAACGAUACAGAGAUUGGCAUGGCCCCUGCACAAGGGUGACAUGCAAAUUCAUGAAGCAUUCCAUAUUUUU
Cercocebus atys (sooty mangabey) is the source of this 104-nucleotide small nuclear RNA. Lineage: Eukaryota; Metazoa; Chordata; Mammalia; Primates; Cercopithecidae. The record is from Ensembl.